GCCAGCAUGGAGUAGUGGUUUGCAUGUUAGACUACAACUCUGGAGACCAGGGUUUGAAUCCUGGCUCAGCCA
Non-coding RNA from Phrynosoma platyrhinos (Desert horned lizard), 72 nucleotides. NCBI's taxonomy places the organism in Eukaryota, Metazoa, Chordata, Lepidosauria, Squamata, Phrynosomatidae. The record is from the annotation of a GenBank genome assembly.